ACCAUGUGUGGAACGUUGCUUCUGUUUGCCAGGGCUGUGAGAAAACGUCGUUACCAGAGAGGUGUGGAUGCCAAAGCAAACUAUGGAGGUGCUUUUUGUCGUUACCGAAGAGGUCUGGACGCUAAAACAAACUCUGGAGCUGUGUUUUUUUGUCGAACAUGAGUGAAACUGGAUGCUGAACACAACUGCGGCGCUAAGAUGUCACCACUUCGUUCACAAUCACAGAGUCUUCGUACAAUAAAGUUCUUUGAAACCAGGGCUGAGGCCUCCAGGAUUCAAACUUCAAACAUUAAAUCAUAGAGAGAAGAGACAGAUGUGAAGACAUUUCCAGAAGGUCUUCAGCUGCUGUCGUCUUCUCUUCCUGCAGAGACAAGAACAUGCGUUGAUCACAGAAACUGAGCGGUAAAUCUAAAAUAUUUUAGGACAUUUUUUGAUGUUUUUAUGCCUUGCUAUAUUAUGACAUGCUGCUUAAGACGAAGGAACUAGCUUACCUUUGUUUUCCACAGACACGUUUGUGGGUCAGGUUAAAUAAGUUAGUCAUUUUGGUAUUUUGCUAACUCAAACUGCAAUGUUGUGUACAUAUUAUCUUGUACAUAUAAUGCCCGUUUCUAUUUUUGCUAUUGCAACAGUGAAAUAAAUGCAUCUGAACUAAUAUUUUGCUGAUCUCUUUAUGGAUGCAUGUAUUCUAUGAAGAGUUUUUAGCCUCAGUUAGAAAUUUUAAUUGAAUGCUGCAAGUAGACAAUAUUUUGUCAUCUCUACUUUACAAAAGAGUUGAAUUUUUUCUACUUUCGAAUUCAACUCAAAAGUUAUACUAUGACAUUUUCUGACGAUUUCUGAAGCCUUACUAGGACAUUUUUUGAUGGUUUCUAAAGCCUUAUUAUACCAUGACAUUUUUUGAGAAUU
Lates calcarifer (barramundi perch) is the source of this 903-nucleotide long non-coding RNA. RefSeq lists it as uncharacterized. Lineage: Eukaryota; Metazoa; Chordata; Actinopteri; Centropomidae. The record is from RefSeq and is a predicted model, not a curated record. The transcript has 4 exons.